Felis catus (domestic cat) is the source of this 1105-nucleotide long non-coding RNA. RefSeq lists it as uncharacterized. The transcript is spliced from 3 exons. The record is from RefSeq and is a predicted model, not a curated record. NCBI's taxonomy places the organism in Eukaryota, Metazoa, Chordata, Mammalia, Carnivora, Felidae.
UGUGGGUUUGAGCCUCGCAUCGGGCUCUGUACCCUCUCUCUCUCUCUGCCCCUCCCUUGCUUGUACUCGCUCUCACUCUCUCUCUAAAUAAAAAAAUGAACUUAAAAAAGAGAAAUGUACAUUUUAGGUCUUAUUUCAAUAUUCUAGGAAAAUAAUAACAUAUAAUAACCAUAAUUUCUAUUAUGAAAACUAUACUGGAAUAGAGAAUGAAGCCUACUCUAACCGUCCUAUUUAAAUGUAUAACCUUUUCCCCUUAACUACAGAUUCCCGACUCCUUACACUGAUGUUUCCCCCUGAGAACUUUUCAUUGCCUAAUAAAUUACAUACUAUAUUCACUUAGUAAAUUUGUUUAUUGUCGGUCUUCCUCCACAGAAAUAGAAGCUCUUCAAAGGCAGGAAUUUCUGUUCGUUUUGUUCACUAACUUAUUCCAAGCACCUACAACAACCUAGGACUAUAACGACUGAAUGAGAAGUAAUGGAUAACAGACUGCCUGAGAGUCAAAGGAGGAAAUGGAGCUAACAAUAUACACUUUUCUAAAUAUCACCUUCACUCACUUUGGAGAAAAAGAAAAGAUUUGUCAUUCCUCAAACCUAGGAACCUAACUGAAUUGUGGUGAUAAUCUUCUCUACCUUAAGACACACAGUAGCAGAACUGGAAUAAAACCAGCUUCAUUAUGGGCUAAAGUCCAGAUUUAUUCCAAUAUCUGAGGCUGACUCGGAAAUGGGCCUUAAGAAUCCAAGUAAGGAAAGUUUUGGAUGUGUAUUUGACUGAUGUAUGCAGCAUAAGGUAAAUAAAAGAUGUAAGAGUUGGUAAGUGCUAGAGAUUUCACUGUGUUGGGGGGCGGGGAGGAUCUCGAAAAAAAUUUUAACUUCUGGGAUGAAAAAGUAGAGAAAUAUUUAAAAUCUGUCCCAGAUUACUCAGGUAUUUAACUAAAUUGAAAAUAAAUGGCAAUACCAAAUCACCUGUCUUGAUUAAGACUGCCAGAUUUAGGGGCACCUAGGUGACUCAGUCAGUUAAGCGACUGACUCUUAGUUUCCGCUCAGGUCAUGAUCUCACAGUAUGUGGGAUCAAACCCCACGGAUGGGCCGUGUGCUGACAGCACUGA